GUACGGGAGGCAGCAGUAGGGAAUAUUGGACAAUGGGUGCGAGCCUGAUCCAGCCAUGCCGCGUGCAGGAAGACGGCCUUCUGGGUUGUAAACUGCUUUUGCCAGGGGAUAAAACGUCCAUGCGUGGAUAAUUGAAGGUACCUGGUGAAUAAGCCACGGCUAACUACGUGCCAGCAGCCGCGGUAAUACGUAGGUGGCAAGCGUUGUCCGGAUUUAUUGGGUUUAAAGGGUGCGUAGGCGGUUUUAUAAGUCAGUGGUGAAAUACAAUAGCUUAACUAUUGAGGUGCCAUUGAUACUGUAAGACUUGAGUACAGACGAGGUAGGCGGAAUUGACGGUGUAGCGGUGAAAUGCUUAGAUAUCGUCAAGAACACCGAUAGCGAAGGCAGCUUACUAGACUGUAACUGACGCUGAGGCACGAAAGUGUGGGGAUCAAACAGGAUUAGAUACCCUGGUAGU
This 457-nucleotide ribosomal RNA is filed under the name uncultured bacterium. RNAcentral describes it as "bacterial SSU rRNA". It matches the Rfam family "Bacterial small subunit ribosomal RNA", at positions 339 to 794 of the family's 1533-position model. The record is from RNAcentral.